GAGGUCUCUGAGGCUGGGGCUGCUGAGGCUCGGGCGGCUGCAGAGAGGGACCAACAGCAGCAUGCGGGAAUUUGUCCAGAGUGCUGAGGCCAUCCACCAGGAGAGGAAACGGAAAGCGCAGGAAUUCAGCAAGAAGGUAGAUGAAAUCCUUGGUGAUCAGCCAGAGGUAAAGGAGAAGGUUUUCACCAUCCUGAAGCAGUAUGCAGCAGAGAGGAAGGUAGAAUACUUGGCUUAUGCCCUCUGCAUGGUUCUCACCCAAGAGUCCCACCAGCUUCUUAUUGACAAUAUCAGAGGGAAACAACUGCAGCUGAGACCGCUCGCUGCUUGGGGCAGAGACCCAGCAGUGCUGGACUUCCCCCUUCCGAUGGG
This 369-nucleotide long non-coding RNA is filed under the name Apteryx owenii (little spotted kiwi). RNAcentral's name for it is "lncRNA (ENSAOWG00000004307.1)". Lineage: Eukaryota; Metazoa; Chordata; Aves; Apterygiformes; Apterygidae. The record is from RNAcentral.